ACCACAGAAACACAAACACAAAAAUAACUUAAAUUCUUCUAUGCUAUGCUGCUAGUUUUCUCACAGUAUUGGACGGUUUCUCUUAAUGAAUUUCUCUCAAUGAUUUCUGUAGCUAGCAUAGGUUACUUUAGUCAUACUUGGUGUUGAUUCGACUAGGACCUCUUGUAUACUAGGUGUUGAUUCUCAACAUAGUUCAUUCCAAAUCAUUCCAUAUUUUAUUUAUUGGCUACUGAAUGAAACAUCAAUCUCUGUUGUCCCAUUGGCACCUAAAGCCCCAUCAGAGCAGAGGAACUAUUGCUGAUCAUUGCUGCUCAUUUAUGAGAGCCGCAACAUUUGUGAUGCCCUGUUCUAGUUUCUUUCCGGCAUUUACGUGGAUCAAUGAACAAUAAUGCAACUUUUCUGCUGUGGUUGAGGGCCUGAGGCCAAGGUGCAAAAGAUAUUUCCGGCAUUUUUCAUCAUUUGCGGCACCAAGAUCCUGAGCAAAAAGGACAAUAAUUCGAGCUAUCUUUGAUCUAUCUAUAUAUCUUGGCCUUACUAGGAAAAAAUUAUUAUGCAUCUAUAUAUAUAUGGUCUUACUAUCUAUCCAUCUAAUCUAAUGCUUAUCAUGCAUUUAGCAGAAUCAGAUCAUUCAUACUUUNNNNNNNNNNNNNNNNNNNNACAUUUAUGAACUCGGAAACAAGUGUCCACAGUAUGACCUCGUUUACCACAUACUGUGCAUUCAACUGCUCCUCCAUUUCCACUGUACUUGUUGUCUUUGCUCUUGUACUCUCCUUUGUUAUCCCAGUUUUUAGUGCCUCUGUCCCUCUCAUUGUGUCUUGAUCCUUCACCAUGUGCAACCAUAGCACUCAUAUUAGGAAACACAGAAAAUGUACCUUUAAAUCUUCUUUCAGCAACAAGAAGUUGUGCUCUCAGAUCACUUAGAGAAAUAGGAUUCUCUCUUCCCUCAACAACAGUUCUUAGAGUAGAGUACUCAUCAGGAAGUCCAUUGAGAAUAACAAUGAUUAUAUCUUCAUCAGGAAUUGUAACUCCAACAGACAUCAGCUGAUCUCUUGCAUUUUUAACCCUUUGAAGAUAUUUUUCAACACUUUCUGCUCCCUUGCACAAAGUUUGGAGCUCAGUUUUGAGUUGCAUAAUACUCACUCUAGAUGCAGCAGAGAAACGUUCUUGAAGAGCAAGCCAAGCUUGUCUAGAUGUCCUGCAUCCAAUUAUGACAUCUACAAUAUCUUCAUCCAGAGUAGCCAUGAGAAGACUUAGAAGAGCCAUAUCAGUCUUUUUCCAAGCCAUAAAAGCUGCAAUUUCUUCAUAUGUGACCUUACCAUUAGAGGUUAAUGCAUAUCGAGGAGGACAGACCUCAGUACCAUCAUAAAAUCCAAAUAAGUCAUUGCCAGCAAGAGUGGAUUAGAAUUGAAAACUCCACUUGAUAAAGUUUCUUUCACUGAAACGCAUAGUGAUAAUACUCAACAGUGAAUGCACAUCUGAAUGUGUAAGAGUGUGACUAGCAGCAUUGUGAUCAGUAGUGCUUUGUGUAGGAGCCAUUUUCAACUGCAAGCAAUAUUCAAACAAAUUUCUUGAAACACCACAAAAGAGACCCUUAUGACUCAAUCCUCAGAAACCAAAACACCUCAGACCUCUCAGAGAACUUCUUAUUCUCUUAGCAUACAAAAUCAGACUUCCAGCAAAUCUUGAACAAGAGCAUGCAGAGAAUACUCAAUAAUUCCCAAAUGCUAUAUGCUCCAAUAUUGUAUUAAGACAACUCCUUAGACCUCUUUUUACUGAUAUUUAACACAAAAGCAACAAUAAUACCCAGAAAUGCUCAGUUUUGCUCUAAAUACUCAGAAAUACUCAUAUUUGCUCUCAGUUUUGCUAAGAUUUACUCUAAAUACUCCAAUUUUUUCAACUCUUCAUAUAUACUCCAAUUUUGCUCACUUAAUCAUCAAAUCUCACCAUACAAAAGCAUCAAGAUCAUCAUAACCUUCAAAUGAAGAAAGCUCACAGUGGACUUAGUAAAUCUGAACAAACUUCAUACUUUCCUCUAAUCAACAAGCAUAGUAGCUAAUCCAUAGAAAACCUCUUGAACCGAUCAACAAUAUGACUGAAAAUUAUGUAGAUCCGAAGAGCGUAGAACUCAAUUUAACCAAAAGAUACACAAGAAUCUCAAGAAGAUCAGACCUGAGUUUUAGAUGUAUCACAGUACUGACGAACAAGCCUCAAUGAAGAUCAGAGCAGUUGAUCCACAACUUGAAGAUGAGAGAGCUUCGAUUUUCACCACAGAGCGCAAGCUAGAUCUGAAUUCAGAAAGCAAAUAUAUGAACAAUCAUACACAGAAGCAGAAGAAUAUAUCAGAGGUCCAUGAUCUAUGGCUGCUCUGAUACCAUGAUAGCCAUGGCAUCAGAGAUGAGCUUGAUAACAAAAUUGAAAGCAGAAAAUUGAGAGAGAAAGAAACUGAGAGCAAAUCAAACUCUUUUGCUUAGAAUAUAGCAUAGAAUUCAUUACAAAGGAGAAUAAAGUCAGAUAGCUAUUUAUACAACAGAAAAGGAAAUCGGAAGCUUUCUAACAGAAUUGAGAGCUGGAAUAUAGCUGUCAAAAUACACGUGGCAUAAAGAUUCUAGAAUCUGUUAGAAGAAUAACGGACUAGUCAACUCUUCCAUUCUUCUUCUACUACAGUCAACAAAUUGAAACUGACACAAUGUUUUCUUUUUCUUUUUCUUUUUUUUCUUUUUUUUGGGUAAAUGAAUGAAUAUAUAGAAGAACCCAGGCUAAAAACAAGCCAAGGAACAACAAGAACAGAAGCUACAAAGCUAAAGCUAACAAAACAACACCCUCAAAACAAACACAUAAAACUAAGAAGCUAGUCUCCAUUCAUGAAAAAUGUAAGCGUUAGAAGAAGUAUGAGGAAUCUUCCAAGACAAUAAGCAGAGGCGAAUGGACUCCACAAUUCCUUUAAACACAACAGCAGGAGGAAGACUCUCAAAAAUAGAAAUGGUACCACAAUGUUUUCUUUUUCCUGAGACAGAACAAUCAGACCAAUAAUGUGUGACUUGAAGAGCACAAAUGAAAAUGAUAUCAAGAACUGCAAGAGUGCAGCAAGGGUGAAAGAAACAAUUGGUCUACGAAAGAGGGAAAAUUGAGGUUUCAAUUGCCAAUUAAUGAAGUUGAUUAACUUAAAGAAGGAUGCAGAGCUGCAAUGAAAAUUACAUUGUGUUCUUAAUACAAACCGGAGCUAUAAUUUACGGCCAAAAUUGAAAAGGAAUCAUCAGGAUCUAGAUUGAGAGAAGUUCCCGAUGUACCUACUCAUGAUCACUAACAGAAACAAAACUCAAGAAAAUCAUCAAUGUCCGGAAAAAGCUUCCCCGAAUAUCCAUCAGAUAGACCCCCACUUACAUAAGCUGUUGAGAUUGGUGAUUCAUUUUCAUUCAAAUGUGAAAAACCCAUGUGAUGCAGCAAGUAUUGACUUGGGAUGAAUAGUUAUCUAUGGUAUAGCUAGGAACAAAGCCUUAAAUGGUGUUUGUGGAAAUUGAAGGUAUAUGAGAGUCUUCUAUGGUGUGCUUGCAGCAAAUGGAAUAGGAGGGAAGAAAAAGCUUUGGCUUUUUCACAUGGUAUGAUUGUUGCCUAUAAAUAGGCUGCAUGGAGAACCAAUAGAAGCAUGCAAGGAAGUUUGCAUCGAGUAAGCAUCGGACAAGCAAUAGAGCUUGUGGGUUGUGCAUGAGAGUGAGAGAGAAAAAAGUGCUAAGAGGGAAAUACUCUUAGGUGAGAUAUUGUGUUCUUGGGUAUUCUAUGAGUGAGGGUGUACAAGGGUUUUAGGAUUUGGGUUAUGAGAUUUAACUCAUGUAUCUUGUACUAGUUUUAUUCUCAUAGUGGAAGAGCAAUAUCUUGGGGUGGACAUAGGCAUGUUAUUUGCCGAACCACGUUAAAUCUCGUGUCAAUUGUUUUUUUCAUCAUUGUUUGUUAUUCAGCUUUAUUACGAUAUUGUUGGGUGUGUCUACUCUUGGAUCUCGGUUCGUUCGUGGGGUUAAAAUCUCAACAUAAGCCUCAGAUGUGCAUACCAGCAACACCAUGUACCAAAAACAGUGAGAAGCUGCCAAUCAAUAUCAUCCUCCAUCCUCAAGUACUCUCCAAUAUCAGCCUGGUGAAGCACCACAAUUCCAUUGGGGUCCAACUUCCUACAAUCCUGGGUAGAUUAGGCGGCAAUCCCAAAAUUCAAUGGAAUAUCCGACAUUGAAAAAACAACCACCCCAUCACCAGGCACAAUAUUUUCUGUAAUCCUCCCCAAGCCACCUUUCAGAAUAUGGUUUCCAUAUAAAUACGACAUCUCAGAGGUAGGUUUGAGCCAGACCUUGUGUUUAGCAUUCGAGGCCAGUAAACUCAAACACUGAACAGUUAGGUGGAAGCUACCACCGUGAUUGAACUUCCCAAUGCAAGUUCCAAGAGAGACUAGAUUAACACAAGCUAUGUUGGUUGCACGCUUUACUAGUGAGUCACUGACGUAGUAGACCUUGUUCUUGUUGAGUCGAAAGCAUAACAAAAGAGAGCAAAAAGUAAAAAAGGAAGAAUGUCUCAGAAGCAUUUCAUCAAACACCUUGCGAGCAACAUUUUAGUUGUUCUAUACAUUCACUGAUUCAUAGGUGGUGAUAGAAAGAGUCACUGAUAGUCCAAAUACGUGCAAAUAGCAAACAGAAAAGGCAAAAAAACGAAGAACCUUAAAGUACCUGGGAUCAAAAAGAGAGGGAAGGAGGGAAAAACCUGGGAUCAAAAAGAGAAGGAAGGAGGGAAAAAAUCCCAAAAAUAUUUAGACCAUUUAUCAAUUAGGUUUAUUGUAUUGGUUUUUAUCAAGGAAACUAUGUGUGUGCUUGCAAAGUAGAUUACCAUUCGAGGUGUUGUUAAUUGUGAAGCUACCACUCACAUUCUAAUCAUCUUUUUCAGGUUGGUUUGUUUAUAAUCCCAUCCCUUUUAUGUCUACGUACUCUACUUUUUUUUUAAUGAAUUUAUACUCAUAUAUAGAUAUAGAUAUAUAAUUUCAGUUAUAUGUAGCACCAAAUGUUGUAUAAUGAUUUUGUAUGCAUAAUGGCUUAUUCUUAUAUGUUCUUCACCACGAUUUGGUCUUUGUCAGUUUAUGAUAGUAUCAGAGAGUGCAUUGGGUUGAUGAGAGUUCCACUUAUAUAUGACUCAUUCAACCUAAUAGAGAUACCAAAAGAGGUUAACUCUUAGUCACUGUUUUUUGCCAUUAUUUCUAUAAAUGGUUAGAGAAAUUUAUAUUCCAAGUUUGCAAAUCCAAGGAAUCAGAAUAGCAAAAGCUACUAGCUACUAAAAGUUUAUUUUUCAAGUUUGCAUGUCUACUGAUUUAUAUAUGUUUGCGCUAUUAAUUUGUAAUAUAAACAUAAUUUUUUUUUCUAUGCACUUGCAGGAGCAGUGUAUGGAUUACUGAAGCAUUGCGGUUGCAGCUAGAAGAACAAAAGUGGCUUCAUCAUGAACAACUUGUGGUAUGCAUUUGGGAGCCGUGCACUAUUUUCAUGUUUGCAUAUGAAUGCAUGUGCAACUGUUUAGAUGUUUACAUCUGCAUUUUUUAUCCAUAUACAUGUGUACAUCACUAUUUGCUUGGAAUAUCUAAGAGAUGUGAGUUAUGCUACUGAGGCAUUUCAUUUGCUUGGAAUAUCUAAGAGGUAUACUAUUAAUUAAUUUAGGCAGUUUUAUAUUUGAUGUCACAAUACGUGUUCUCUUCUUUUUCUUAUUCAUAAUUUUUCAUUUGUAUUUUAUUUCCUGCAUAUAAGUAUAAUUUUUCUGGUGAUCAACUGUGUAUUAACUUGGCUAUAUAUUGAUACUUGUAUGCCAUUCUAUAAGGUCGAUUGAACAAGUGAUUGGUCUAGCAUAUUGAAACAUUAGGGAUUAUUCCUGUAUUGAAUCCUUUUAUGCAAUUAUAUGACAUUAAAAGUCGUUUCAACUCAUUUCCUGAAUAAAUACAGCAUCCAAGCAGUUUCCAUUUCAUCUCAUUUUGAAACUUAUAAUGUUAUCCUCGUUUUGUAGGUUGGAGUUUGAUUUGGCUAUGCAGAGCAGUGAUUUAAAUAGGGCUCUCCAGUGCCUACUCACAAUGAGCAACAUCAGGGACUUGGGGCAAGAUAAUUCAAUUCAGGAUUUGAUGUGAAGGACAUUCUAAGUAUGACAUAUCACCAAUGUAAGAGCUUAUGAGGUUUUAUGUCACCAUCUAGUGAUAAGGAUUGGUUGCUCAAUUCAGUGAUAUGACUUGGUUUUUGAUGUUAUAACUUAUUGUUGUUAUAGCUUAUAGGUCUCUUUGGAACAAAUAACUUUUUGUAAAAUUUGUUGGUGUUUGGCAAUAAGAAUGAAUUUGAGAUUUCUGAAUUAUGUUGUGCUUUUGUUGAGACAUUAAAAUCCUAUAGAAUUGACAUCCAGAUUGAAAUCUGACAACAGAUGGCCCUAUAGACUUUGACGUCUCUAAAUCUUUCAAACGACAUUUAUAUGUCGUCUUAAAAUAUAAAAAAAAGAUAAUAGUAGAUGUCGUCUGAGAUAGAUAUCAGACGACAGACAAAUGACGUUUGAAUUGGUGUGAGACGACAUACAGUUGCUCACUUUUGAGUAUAAAGUAAUUUCAAUGACACUUUUAUGUCGUUAUAAUCAUUGUCUAACGACAGAUAAUUUGAGUUUGUUGCAUAUUUAGAUGCAUACACACGACAGAUGUGUUUAUAUUGUAUGUCGUGUGAAGUUUAUCAGACGACAGAUUUUGCAUGUCGUCUGAAUGCUUAUCAGAUGGCAGCUCGAUAGACGACACGCAAAAAAAUGAUUAGACGACAGGCUUUAGCAACUCGAUAAACGACACGCAAAAAAAUGAUCAGACGACGGGCAAAGCCUGUCGUCUGAAAGCAAAAUUGACGUAGUGUUUUUUGUUUCCCAAGUCCUUUGAAUACUUUUCUUCCUUCUUUGAUCACUUCAAUAUCUAGACACCAUGGGUUUCCGAUUUCCUAAAGUUGCUAGCACAAAGGCAUCAGAUAUACCAAAGGCCUACUUUGCGGUUUAUGUUGGAGAGAACCAGAAGAAACGAUUUGUUGUUCCAAUAUCAUAUUUGAACCAAAUUUUGUUUCAGGAUUUGCUGACUCAAGCUAAAGAAGAAUUUGGAUUCCAUCAUCCAACGGGUGGUAUCGCAAUUCCUUGCAGCGAAGACACCUUCAUUGAUCUCACUUCCCACUUAAGUGUGUGAGUAAACACUAAUGAAGCAGAUCCUGGAUCCAAAAUAUCCUGAUUUGAAAACUUGCUGCUCAGUCAAGAUGAAGUAGCUUCAGUUGAUAAUUUGAUCAUCCACAGAAUCAGAUCACUCUUGUGGAGGAAAAACUGGCCUGCUGGACUGCUACCUUGGUGAAGAGGGCUUUCCAAAGUUUGAGGAAGAACCAAAUCAUAGCUUAUCAUGAGACAAAACAUGAAAAUUGUAGACUCUCUCUCUGCAGUUAGUGUAUAGUUCAUGAGACUCCAUAUUUUGACCUCAAUGACAGUCAAGUUCUGUCUUUUACUCCUAAAUUAAACUGUCUUGUUUUUUUAGAAAAUAAGGGAAUGCAAAGGAAUAUAUUUCAAUUCCUGAUGAACUUUCGGGUCUAAUUUCUAAUAGAUCAUUUUGCUCGCAGUGAUAUAAUUACCAAAAUCAAAGCAUAUGUUGAAAAGGAAGUAAUGCUUGGUGAUAUAAUGGUUUUAUCUGAUUUAUGAUAUAUGCAGAUGAAGCCUGAUUAUGGUGUCUUCAAUUAGACACAUUGAUAUUAACAUUACCAUUAAGAUAUCUGCAGAUGAAGCCUGAAACAGUAAAUAUGGUAAACGAUAUAAUUAUAGCAGAUGAGAAAAUUUCAAAAGAAAAAAAAAACAAAGUAGAGAUGUUUACACCUAAAUUAAUAUUUUACUAGACAGUAAUUGUUUAGGUAAAUAUUAGUUAAAUUCAUAGUACACGUCAUACAAGCGAGCCCAAAAUAUUAAGUUUACAAGUGAUGAUCCGCCAGCAAAAUCAGGCGAGCUGGGUAGUAGAGUUCACAUGUGACAAGAAAUGGACUGACUUCGCAUAGAAGAUUGAGCGAGGCGAGAUACCUUCGCGCGAGAAGACUUCGCCAGGAGAAGAGUUUACGUGUAUUAAGGUUUCUAUUCUUUAAUCACAUGUAUGCAAGUGUAUGUACUCCCUAUGCGUGGCGAAGGAUAAUGCUUGCAGCUACAGUGGAGGCGAGAUGCAUGCGAAGAGGUUGCAUGCGAAACAGAAACAACUACCUCGCGGGGUGGAUAAACAUGAUUGCACGGCGAGAUGGUUCAUUAAGGAUCAUUAUCUUUAUUCAAGCAUGAUUGCAUGGGGAAGCUUACGUCCACAUCUUCAUGAGAUUGGUUGUAUGUGGUGGUUAAGGUCUCUAUUCCUUAAUUGGAUUUACAUGAAUUGACUACGUCCACAUCUUCAUGAGAUUGGUUCUACUCCUCUACAUAGUAGGCAGUUAGUUACUUCGCCAAAGCAUAAUCACGUCCAGCAAGUGAUUAACAUCGCCUACGCCAUAUUUAUCGUUGAAAACUCCUACAAGUCUUUGACAUGUUUUGGGCCAAUACUUGUGGCCCCAAAUAACUCUAUAUAAAGGAGUUUGAGGUUCUCUCUACUGCACAACUCAAAAACUCAACAACUCAACAAAAAUACAAUACAACUAUCGACCUAGUCGAACCUAAAUGCUAAAGCAUCUCGCCUUAGCAACAUUUUUCCUUUCAAGCUCCCCGGAGCUCUGUUUCUUUACUUUCCCGGCUCCCCGGAGUCAUUGCACCCUUUACUUUUCAAGCUCCCCGGAGCUCCCUUGCGUUCUCGUUUUCCUUUCCUUUGGUUGCUCUACUCGCUACAACCGCGAGUAUCGAUAUCGGUGGCGAAGAAGCUACUCUAAAUCCUCGUCCGUGAGGUGCCACCGGAGCCCUACUCUCGUUUGAUUAGAAGCACAGGUUAGCGCACUACAACAACAACCCUACUACAUUCCGCGUCAGCACAGUAGCACGCUCCACAUCCCUAGAAGCAUUAACUGCUACCGUCUCUCUCUCCUUGCUGAGGAUUGUGGCCAAAACAAGAGAUACAAUAGCCUUUAUGGGAUAAAGAGAAACCAGACCCAGAAAUAAACAAAUAAGUGUCUGUGGUGGCAUUUUCAAGUACAGAUCAGAAGUAUGGAAAUCUCUGAGAAUUAAAGUAGGAGUAGAAAAAGGCUCUGAAUACCGUUCUUAAUUGAAACGCAAGUAAUUAAAAUUUAGAGAAUUUUAAGAGAAACAAGAGCAAAGAGCAUAAAUAUAUGUAUAUACAAUUGUCCCUAUACAAUUAUACAUGAUACGUAUGUGUAAGUACGUAGUUGGUAUGUAUGCAUAUUUUUUUUUAUUAAAUUUCUUGUAUCUGAAAUAUAUGUAUAGAAUAAGAAGAUUAAGAUCUAUCCACAAAACACAUAGCCACAGUCAUUAAAUCAUCACAAAAACCAUGAACUACAGUUUCCUAGUAGCACUAGGAGAUUACCAUGUCACAGCUGCUCAGCCUCAACGAUUGCCAUCUGAUCUUGUUCUGAACCUCUAACACCACAGAAACACAAACACAAAAAUAACUUAAAUUCUUCUAUGCUAUGCUGCUAGUUUUCUCACAGUAUUGGACGGUUAUCUCUUAAUGAAUUUCUGUAGCUAGCAUAGGUUACUUUAGUCAUACUUGGUGUUGAUUCGACUAGGACCUCUUGUAUACUAGGUGUUGAUUCUCAACAUAGUUCAUUCCAAAUCAUUCCAUAUUUUAUUUAUUGGCUACCGAAUGAAACAUCAAUCUCUGUUGUCCCAUUGGCACCUAAAGCCCCAUCAGAGCAGAGGAACUAUUGCUGAUCAUGGCUGCUCUUUUAUGGGAGCCGCAACAUUUGUGAUGCCCUGUUCUAGUUUCUUUCCGGCAUUUACGUGGAUCAAUGAAUAAUAAUGCAACUUUUCUGCUAUGGUUGAGGGCCUGAGGCCAAGGUGCAAAAGAUAUUUCCGGCAUUUUUCAUCAUUUGCGGCACCAAGAUCCUGACCAAAAAGGACAAUAAUUCGAGCUAUCUAUGAUCUAUCUAUAUAUCUUGGCCUUACUAGGAAAAAAUUAUU
RNAcentral lists this long non-coding RNA (10092 nucleotides) under Fragaria vesca (wild strawberry). Its description in RNAcentral is "long non-coding RNA (FVES_LNC002586)". Lineage: Eukaryota; Viridiplantae; Streptophyta; Magnoliopsida; Rosales; Rosaceae. The record is from RNAcentral.